This 253-nucleotide ribosomal RNA is filed under the name uncultured bacterium. RNAcentral describes it as "partial 16S ribosomal RNA". It matches the Rfam family "Bacterial small subunit ribosomal RNA", at positions 524 to 776 of the family's 1533-position model. The record is from RNAcentral.
UACGAGGGGGGCGAGCGUUGUUCGGAAUUAUUGGGCGUAAAGGGCGCGUAGGCGGUGCGGUAAGUCACCUGUGAAACCUCUGGGCUCAACUCAGAGCCUGCAGGCGAAACUGCCGUGCUGGAGUGUGGGAGAGGUGCGUGGAAUUCCCGGUGUAGCGGUGAAAUGCGUAGAGAUCGGGAAGAACAUCGGUGGCGAAGGCGGCCAGCUGGGCCGUUGCUGACACUGAGGCGCGACAGCGUGGGGAGCAAACAGG